UACGUAGGGAGCGACCGUUAUCCGGAUUUAUUGGGUGUAAAGGGUGCGUAGAUGGGAAGGCAAGUUGGUUGUGAAAUCCCUCGGCUUAACUGAGGAACUGCAACCAAAACUAUCUUUCUUGAGUGCUGGAGAGGAAAAUGGAAUUCCUUGUGUAGCGGUGAAAUGCGUAGAUAUUAGGAGGAACACCAGUGGCGAAGGCGACUUUCUGGACAGUAACUGACAUUGAGGCACGAAAGUGUGGGGAGCAAAC
This 250-nucleotide ribosomal RNA is filed under the name uncultured prokaryote. Its description in RNAcentral is "partial 16S ribosomal RNA". It matches the Rfam family "Bacterial small subunit ribosomal RNA", at positions 524 to 773 of the family's 1533-position model. The record is from RNAcentral.